AGCGUAGACGGAAUGGCAAGUCUGAUGUGAAAGGCGGGGGCUCAACCCCCGGACUGCAUUGGAAACUGUUGAUCUUGAGUACCGGAGGGGUAAGCGGAAUUCCUAGUGUAGCGGUGAAAUGCGUAGAUAUUAGGAGGAACACCAGUGGCGAAGGCGGCUUACUGGACGGUAACUGACGUUGAGGCUCGAAAGCGUGGGGAGCAAACA
Molecule: ribosomal RNA, 207 nt
Filed under: uncultured bacterium
Lineage: Bacteria
Description: partial 16S ribosomal RNA
Rfam family: Bacterial small subunit ribosomal RNA
Source: RNAcentral